Molecule: unclassified non-coding RNA, 327 nt
Filed under: Hevea brasiliensis (rubber tree)
Lineage: Eukaryota; Viridiplantae; Streptophyta; Magnoliopsida; Malpighiales; Euphorbiaceae
Source: RNAcentral
ACGUGAUCCUACCUGCAACAAGGAAGUGAUCUCGACCGCCCAUAAUGCCCCAUUCGGGCCUUUUCUCGAGCCAGUUGACCAAAUCAAGUGAAGCUCUAUCUCUAGUAGAUAUAUUAUAUCCCCAAAGGUAUCUCGCAAUAUCAAACCCGGCAUAAAACGGCACAAAAAAAGCAGCAGCAAUGGAAGAAUCCUUAGUCAAACAAUCAUAUUGCUUCAUUCGAUUACUGAAAAUCACAUCGACCGCAAACUGAUUCGUUGCAUACCACCCUGUAUCUGAAAACACUCCUUCCACAUUUUCAAGUGGUGGACCAAGCCCAGCAUUAGUUG